Long non-coding RNA from Manis pentadactyla (Chinese pangolin), 2405 nucleotides. RefSeq lists it as uncharacterized. The transcript has 2 exons. Lineage: Eukaryota; Metazoa; Chordata; Mammalia; Pholidota; Manidae. The record is from RefSeq and is a predicted model, not a curated record.
CAGCCCAUCCAGUCCCGAAGGGCUGACUUGGGGUAGCCCGGCUCUACCUUCAGCUUCUGGUUGUUGAAUUUCCAGUAUUUGUUCCCCUUGUAGAAGUAAGUGAAGACUGCAGGGGUCAGCGAGAAGGUGGCAAGAGAGACAAGAGGUGGGGGCAGCAAUCCGGAGAAGACCCGAAGGCAAGAGCAGAAGGACAAUCUGCCCACCUCAAGCCCUGCUUGUCUCAGAAACUCUUCUCUAACUUCAAGUUGGCCAGCUCUCUCUUCUGAAAGAAGUGCAUAUGACCAUUUAAUAUUCAUCUAUUUGCCUUGGGAUGUUUAUUGUACUAUUGUUUUUAGCCUCAUUUAGCCAUCUCAUAUCCUUCUGGAAAGGGGCAGAGCACUGAAGUUUUAUUUAAUUUUUAAAAUGUCCAUGCUUUGUUUUCCCAUUUAGACUUGAAAUUCCUUGGAAUCAGGGACUAUAUCUCUGUAUUUCAGUUAUUAUGUACAGUGCAGGCACAUAAUAAAAAUUCCAUAACUAUCAGGUGACUUGCUUAAAAGAUGCAUUAUCUGAACUGAAGUAGUUUAUAAUAAAGUUGAAGAGAAAGGACACUUAGACACUUACUUUUUACAAAGACAGAAAGAGUGAUAACUCUGCCCAAAAGUUUGCAGGCAAGACAGAUAAGAGAUACGAUUUAUUAGGAAGGGGAGUCAAUAUAGUGUAUGGCCAGGUGCUUUACAAUGGUUAUUUCACUUUAUCAUUACAAGCACCAUGUGAGAUAGGUAUUCCUCUUUCAUAGAUGUGGAAACUGAUAUAUAAAAUUAAGUAACAUAUCCCAGACCACAAAGUUAUCAAGCAGAGAAGCCUGGAUUAAGGCUCUAUUCCAGAGUCUUGCCAAUAUUCCACACUACUUCAAGGAGUUUCUAUAGUAAAUAACGAGUAGAAAAAAUCUUCACUAUUUUCCUCGGCCACCAAGGAUUGGAUUAAGCAAGAUCAUACUCCUACAGAAUGCAAUAAAGUAUUAAUACUCAGGUCUCUGUGCUGUUUAAGGUGGGGGCUGGCCCUCUGUCCAGUUCUAGUCCUGGCUUGCUAUUACCUAGCUGUGUAAUCACAGACAGUUCACUUCUGUGGGCCCCAAUUUUCCCACCUGUAAACUCGAGUUCCAUAUGGAGAAUGGGGAACGGAUUCAAGUUUUCCAAGAUCCCUCCCUUUAGUACUAAUAUCUAUUUUCUUUUCUUUUUUAAGGGAAGAGACUUUUCUGAGGGGGUCCACCAUCCUCAAUCCUUACCCUUCAGAAGGGUGGUUCUUCCUAACUUUCAAAAAACCGUCCCCCUUUUAGAAACGUAAAAGUCUUGUCACUCCUUCCCUGGAGGUGCCCCCAGUUACAAUUAUCUUCUGAUUAUCCCCACAAGCAAAGGAGAUGCUUGUCUAGCUUUAGUUUCCAUAGGCGUAAAUUUACAAAAUAAAUAGGGCUUCUUCCUCCCCAGCUCCGAAGUUUUAUACGCUGUCCACUCAGACGCACCCCUCUCCGCCCCGCCUUGACACCACCCAGCUCCAUUCAGGGGCGUUCCCUCGGGAUGAAACCCUCCUAGUAGAGUUAACUGUCAGGUCACCUCUCACCCGCGUAAGACCAGUCUGGGAGCUCCGUAAGAGGCCCGUAGCCGGAGGGGUUGGCAGCCAGACCCUGCCUGGGUGGGGAAAAACAAUCCGGUGAAGACAGCUUCUAGCUGAAAACUGCCCAGCUUCUAGCUCCCCUUUUCCCCCCGAGGCUGGCACUCACUGGAGUCGCCACUGGCCGCCGGCCAGGGCCGCCGCGUUGCAGUGCAGCCUUCGGACACCUGCUGGGAAAACAGGACAGAGGGUUGGGAGAGAGGCCAUGGGCCACCUCAGGGGGCCUGGGCGCGGCGCCGCGGGUCCCCGAGCCCACCGACCCUACACCUACUUACUAGAGAGGAGACAACCUAAUACAGCCAUGCCAGGGACGAUAAGGCGGAAGUGCACGUGACCUCGUGAGACGCGCGACGCUGCGGGGGGAGCCGGAAGCCGCCAUCUUGAAUCUGGUUUUCAACCAUGGGCACCGCCAUCUUGGGUCAUCGUACGGCGGAGAGCGACAGAACUGCGAUUUGGGUGUUUCAGGCAAGAACGGUCGUUUUGCCUGCGACCUGGGUGUUUUAGGCAAGAACGGUCGUUUUGCCUGUGUAUCCUCAGUUGUGGUUACCUUCUUUGGCAGUGGUGUCCUCCCAGGUUGAACUGUUUUGAGCUGUUCCACGAUCUCUGCGCAGCGUUCUUUAGUCCUUUAAAAUUUAGCCUUUUAUUUCAGGAGUAACAUCCGCAUAACCUCCGUUCUGUCUUCUCCCGCAUCACUGUAACUUUUUUGUUCCAGCCUAAGAGUCAAAUCUAGAGUGAAUAAAAAAUUUUGGAUUUCAGUU